GGGGAAUUUUGGACAAUGCGGGCAACCCUGAUCCAGCCAUGCCGCGUGAGUGAGGAAGGCCUUCGGGUUGUAAAGCUCUUUCGGCCGGGAAGAAAUCGUGCAGGCUAAUACCCUGUAUGGAUGACGGUACCGGAAUAAGAAGCACCGGCUAACUCCGUGCCAGCAGCCGCGGUAAUACGUAGGGUGCGAGCGUUAAUCGGAAUUACUGGGCGUAAAGCGUGCGCAGGCGGUUUUGUAAGACAGGCGUGAAAUCCCCGGGCUCAACCUGGGAACUGCGCUUGUGACUGCAAGACUGGAGUGCGGCAGAGGGGGAUGGAAUUCCGCGUGUAGCAGUGAAAUGCGUAGAUAUGCGGAGGAACACCGAUGGCGAAGGCAAUCCCCUGGGCCUGCACUUACGCUCAUGCACGAAAGCGUGGGGAGCAAACA
RNAcentral lists this ribosomal RNA (426 nucleotides) under uncultured beta proteobacterium. Its description in RNAcentral is "bacterial SSU rRNA". It matches the Rfam family "Bacterial small subunit ribosomal RNA", at positions 356 to 774 of the family's 1533-position model. The record is from RNAcentral. Lineage: Bacteria; Pseudomonadati; Pseudomonadota; Betaproteobacteria.